CGAGGAAUUUUGCGCAAUGGGCGAAAGCCUGACGCAGCAACGCCGCGUGAGGGAUGAAGGCCUUCGGGUCGUAAACCUCUUUUGCGGGGGGAGAAGUAUGACGGUACCCCGCGAAUAAGCCACGGCUAACUACGUGCCAGCAGCCGCGGUAAUACGUAGGUGGCAAGCGUUGUCCGGAUUUAUUGGGCGUAAAGCGCACGCAGGCGGUUGGCUAAGUCCGAUGUGAAAUCUCUCGGCUUAACUGGGAGGAGUCAUCGGAUACUGGCCGGCUUGAGGAAGGUAGAGGAGAGUAGAAUUCCCGGUGUAGUGGUGGAAUGCGUAGAUAUCGGGAGGAAUACCAGUGGCGAAGGCGGCUCUCUGGGCCUUUCCUGACGCUGAGGUGCGAAAGCGUGGGGAGCGAACCGG
This 405-nucleotide ribosomal RNA is filed under the name uncultured bacterium. RNAcentral describes it as "bacterial SSU rRNA". It matches the Rfam family "Bacterial small subunit ribosomal RNA", at positions 355 to 776 of the family's 1533-position model. The record is from RNAcentral.